UACGAAGGGGGCUAGCGUUGUUCGGAAUUACUGGGCGUAAAGCGCACGUAGGCGGCUUUUUAAGUCAGGGGUGAAAUCCCGGGGCUCAACCCCGGAACUGCCCUUGAAACUGGAGAGCUAGAAUCUUGGAGAGGCGAGUGGAAUUCCGAGUGUAGAGGUGAAAUUCGUAGAUAUUCGGAAGAACACCAGUGGCGAAGGCGACUCGCUGGACAAGUAUUGACGCUGAGGUGCGAAAGCGUGGGGAGCAAACAGG
RNAcentral lists this ribosomal RNA (253 nucleotides) under uncultured bacterium. RNAcentral describes it as "partial 16S ribosomal RNA". It matches the Rfam family "Bacterial small subunit ribosomal RNA", at positions 524 to 776 of the family's 1533-position model. The record is from RNAcentral.